GGACCUCCAAUCAAGCAGGGCUACCCGCUGAAUUUAAGCAUAUAACUAAGCGGAGGAAAAGAAACUAACCAGGAUUCCCUCAGUAACGGCGAGUGAAGCGGGAACAGCUCACCAUGAGAAUCUGAAAGGUCUUGCCUUUCCGAGUUGUAGUCUCUAGAAGCGCAGCCAGCAGACGGAGAGGGUUAAGUCCCUUGGAACAGGGCGCCUGAGAGGGUGACAGUCCCGUUCAUACUCUCUCCAUUCUGCGUACGGCGUGCUCUCAGUGAGUCGAGUUGCUUGGGAUUGCAGCUCAAAGUGGGUGGUAAAUUCCAUCUAAGGCUAAAUAUGGGUGGGAGACCGAUAGCGAACAAGUACUGUGAAGGAAAGAUGCAAAGAACUUUGAAAAGAGAGUUAAAGAGUGCCUGAAAUUGCUGAAAGGGAAGGAAAGGAAGUCAGUGUGAUUCUCUGUCAUUUUCCCACUCGCCUUCGGGAGAGUGGCCGUGGCAGGGAGUUGGUCAGGAUGGUUCGAGCUGCGGGAUUAGGGUGUGGGGAAGGUUGGUCGCACCUCGGUGUGAUCGUUAUAUCCCCCGCAUUCCUGUCGCAGCGUCGGACCGAGGUCAACUGUGCGCUUUGCUGCGCCUUCGGGUGCAUGCACAGUCUGGAUCCUGACG
RNAcentral lists this ribosomal RNA (650 nucleotides) under Vischeria magna. Its description in RNAcentral is "partial 26S ribosomal RNA". It matches the Rfam family "Eukaryotic large subunit ribosomal RNA", at positions 1 to 630 of the family's 3401-position model. Lineage: Eukaryota; Eustigmatophyceae; Eustigmatales; Chlorobotryaceae. The record is from RNAcentral.